This 2785-nucleotide ribosomal RNA is filed under the name Enterobacter cloacae. RNAcentral describes it as "bacterial LSU rRNA". It matches the Rfam family "Bacterial large subunit ribosomal RNA". The record is from RNAcentral. Lineage: Bacteria; Pseudomonadati; Pseudomonadota; Gammaproteobacteria; Enterobacterales; Enterobacteriaceae.
CGUUGCACUAUCGUUAACUGAAUACAUAGGUUAACGAGGCGAACCGGGGGAACUGAAACAUCUAAGUACCCCGAGGAAAAGAAAUCAACCGAGAUUCCCCCAGUAGCGGCGAGCGAACGGGGAGCAGCCCGGAGUCUGAAUCAGCUUGUGUGUUAGUGGAACGGUCUGGAAAGUCCGACGGUACAGGGUGAUAGUCCCGUACACGAAAAUGCACAUGCUGUGAACUCGAAGAGUAGGGCGGGACACGUGGUAUCCUGUCUGAAUAUGGGGGGACCAUCCUCCAAGGCUAAAUACUCCUGACUGACCGAUAGUGAACCAGUACCGUGAGGGAAAGGCGAAAAGAACCCCGGCGAGGGGAGUGAAAAAGAACCUGAAACCGUGUACGUACAAGCAGUGGGAGCCUCUUUAUGGGGUGACUGCGUACCUUUUGUAUAAUGGGUCAGCGACUUAUAUUCUGUAGCAAGGUUAACCGUAUAGGGGAGCCGAAGGGAAACCGAGUCUUAACUGGGCGUUAAGUUGCAGGGUAUAGACCCGAAACCCGGUGAUCUAGCCAUGGGCAGGUUGAAGGUUGGGUAACACUAACUGGAGGACCGAACCGACUAAUGUUGAAAAAUUAGCGGAUGACCUGUGGCUGGGGGUGAAAGGCCAAUCAAACCGGGAGAUAGCUGGUUCUCCCCGAAAGCUAUUUAGGUAGCGCCUCGUGAACUCAUCUUCGGGGGUAGAGCACUGUUUCGGCUAGGGGGCCAUCCCGGCUUACCAACCCGAUGCAAACUACGAAUACCGAAGAAUGUUAUCACGGGAGACACACGGCGGGUGCUAACGUCCGUCGUGAAGAGGGAAACAACCCAGACCGCCAGCUAAGGUCCCAAAGUCAUGGUUAAGUGGGAAACGAUGUGGGAAGGCACAGACAGCCAGGAUGUUGGCUUAGAAGCAGCCAUCAUUUAAAGAAAGCGUAAUAGCUCACUGGUCGAGUCGGCCUGCGCGGAAGAUGUAACGGGGCUAAACCAUGCACCGAAGCUGCGGCAGCGACACUAUGUGUUGUUGGGUAGGGGAGCGUUCUGUAAGCCGUUGAAGGUGUGCUGUGAGGCAUGCUGGAGGUAUCAGAAGUGCGAAUGCUGACAUAAGUAACGAUAAAGCGGGUGAAAAGCCCGCUCGCCGGAAGACCAAGGGUUCCUGUCCAACGUUAAUCGGGGCAGGGUGAGUCGACCCCUAAGGCGAGGCCGAAAGGCGUAGUCGAUGGGAAACAGGUUAAUAUUCCUGUACUUGGUGUUACUGCGAAGGGGGGACGGAGAAGGCUAUGUCAGCCGGGCGACGGUUGUCCCGGUUUAAGCAUGUAGGCGGAGGUUCCAGGUAAAUCCGGUACCUUAUUAACGCUGAGGUGUGAUGACGAGGCACUACGGUGCUGAAGUGAUAAAUGCCCUGCUUCCAGGAAAAGCCUCUAAGCAUCAGGUAACACGAAAUCGUACCCCAAACCGACACAGGUGGUCAGGUAGAGAAUACCAAGGCGCUUGAGAGAACUCGGGUGAAGGAACUAGGCAAAAUGGUGCCGUAACUUCGGGAGAAGGCACGCUGAUGUGUAGGUGAAGCCCCUGCGGGCGGAGCUGAAAUCAGUCGAAGAUACCAGCUGGCUGCAACUGUUUAUUAAAAACACAGCACUGUGCAAACACGAAAGUGGACGUAUACGGUGUGACGCCUGCCCGGUGCCGGAAGGUUAAUUGAUGGGGUUAGCGGCAACGCGAAGCUCUUGAUCGAAGCCCCGGUAAACGGCGGCCGUAACUAUAACGGUCCUAAGGUAGCGAAAUUCCUUGUCGGGUAAGUUCCGACCUGCACGAAUGGCGUAAUGAUGGCCAGGCUGUCUCCACCCGAGACUCAGUGAAAUUGAACUCGCUGUGAAGAUGCAGUGUACCCGCGGCAAGACGGAAAGACCCCGUGAACCUUUACUAUAGCUUGACACUGAACACUGGUCCUUGAUGUGUAGGAUAGGUGGGAGGCUUUGAAGCGUGGACGCCAGUCUGCGUGGAGCCAACCUUGAAAUACCACCCUUUAAUGGCUGGUGUUCUAACGUAGACCCGUAAUCCGGGUUGCGGACAGUGUCUGGUGGGUAGUUUGACUGGGGCGGUCUCCUCCCAAAGAGUAACGGAGGAGCACGAAGGUUGGCUAAUCCUGGUCGGACAUCAGGAGGUUAGUGCAAUGGCAUAAGCCAGCUUGACUGCGAGCGUGACGGCGCGAGCAGGUGCGAAAGCAGGUCAUAGUGAUCCGGUGGUUCUGAAUGGAAGGGCCAUCGCUCAACGGAUAAAAGGUACUCCGGGGAUAACAGGCUGAUACCGCCCAAGAGUUCAUAUCGACGGCGGUGUUUGGCACCUCGAUGUCGGCUCAUCACAUCCUGGGGCUGAAGUAGGUCCCAAGGGUAUGGCUGUUCGCCAUUUAAAGUGGUACGCGAGCUGGGUUUAGAACGUCGUGAGACAGUUCGGUCCCUAUCUGCCGUGGGCGCUGGAGAAUUGAGGGGGGCUGCUCCUAGUACGAGAGGACCGGAGUGGACGCAUCACUGGUGUUCGGGUUGUCAUGCCAAUGGCACUGCCCGGUAGCUAAAUGCGGAAGAGAUAAGUGCUGAAAGCAUCUAAGCACGAAACUUGCCCCGAGAUGAGUUCUCCCUGAGACUUUAAGUCUCCUGAAGGAACGUUGAAGACGACGACGUUGAUAGGUCGGGUGUGUAAGCGCAGCGAUGCGUUGAGCUAACCGAUACUAAUGAACCGUGAGGCUUAACCUUACAACGCCGAAGGUGUUU